CCUACGGGUGGCAGCAGUGGGGAAUAUUGGGCAAUGGGCGCAAGCCUGACCCAGCAACGCCGCGUGAAGGAAGAAGGCCUUAUGGUUGUAAACUUCUUUUUAGAGGGAAGAGCAGAAGACGGUACCUCUUGAAUAAGCCACGGCUAACUACGUGCCAGCAGCCGCGGUAAUACGUAGGUGGCAAGCGUUGUCCGGAUUUACUGGGUGUAAAGGGCGUGUAGCCGGGCUGACAAGUCAGGUGUGAAAUCCGGGGGCUCAACCCCCGAACUGCAGUUGAAACUGUUGUUCUUGAGUAUCGGAGAGGCAGGCGGAAUUCCUGGUGUAGCGGUGAAAUGCGUAGAUAUUAGGAGGAACACCAGUGGCGAAGGCGGCCUGCUGGACGACAACUGACGGUGAGGCGCGAAAGCGUGGGGAGCAAACAGGAUUAGAUACCCGAGUAGUC
RNAcentral lists this ribosomal RNA (442 nucleotides) under uncultured bacterium. Its description in RNAcentral is "partial 16S ribosomal RNA". It matches the Rfam family "Bacterial small subunit ribosomal RNA", at positions 338 to 795 of the family's 1533-position model. The record is from RNAcentral.